Molecule: non-coding RNA, 83 nt
Organism: Phycisphaerae bacterium SG8_4
Lineage: Bacteria; Pseudomonadati; Planctomycetota; Phycisphaerae
Source: Rfam
GGGUCGGUGCCCGAGUGGUUAAAGGGAGUGGGCUGUAAACCCACUGGCGCAAGCCUACAUUGGUUCGAAUCCAAUCCGGCCCA